CCAGGUUGGAAUCAGUGGGAGAUCCGCUCAGAUGUAUCAGCGAACUCGUUGGACGGUCAUCUGUGCAAAACGGCGCCUGAUGGUGUACAAAUGUCGCCGUUACCACCUGUACGCUAUAAACCAAGCAACCAUCGAACAUAGAAUGGCCAAGAAACAAUGUGAAGAUAAACAGAUGGCCCUUCCAAAAUACAGGACUCAAUGUUUUCAGUCGUUUCUCAAGGUACUUGGCACAGCGCUAGCCUGGAUUGAAGGACUUCCUGACCGCUAUUAUAGCGACCCAUGGCCCAUCGUCUGUGUAAAAUCGGUAUACUGCAACGUGCCUGCUAUUGCUAAUGGAACAGCCGACAAGACAGCCGUCAGAUUUACACACGAUGUAGCGUAUUCGUGCAAUAAUGGCCAUGCGCUGGUGGGAAAUCCGACAGCAAGUUGCAAAGCUGAUGGAACAUUCACUUCAGUGCCUGUCUGUG
Sycon ciliatum is the source of this 467-nucleotide long non-coding RNA. RefSeq lists it as uncharacterized. Lineage: Eukaryota; Metazoa; Porifera; Calcarea; Leucosolenida; Sycettidae. The record is from RefSeq and is a predicted model, not a curated record. The transcript has 3 exons.